Ficedula albicollis (Collared flycatcher) is the source of this 986-nucleotide long non-coding RNA. RefSeq lists it as uncharacterized. NCBI's taxonomy places the organism in Eukaryota, Metazoa, Chordata, Aves, Passeriformes, Muscicapidae. The transcript is spliced from 3 exons. The record is from RefSeq and is a predicted model, not a curated record.
GGAAGGACACGAAAUCGAAACUUUUCGGGUAAAUUUUAAAAAGGGAUCGGAGCGAAAAGAACAGAGCCUUUUCCGAGGGCAGCUUGCGGGCAGAGUGUGCGUGUGUGUCUGUGCGCGCGUGUGCGGUGUGUGUGCGUGUGCGCAGGAUCCACCCCUGGAACUUUCCCCCCUCAACUCUCGCCUGUUUACUGAUCUCAACCCAGAGGGCUGCUCAGAGUAUAAUCCAUCUGAACCUCUUCCCUUUUUUAUACCCAGGCGACGUCAUCCUGGAUUUAGUUCCUGGUAAUAUGCAGAUGACAAACAAAACCAGAUUUGAUUUUUUUUUUCUCCCCUUUUUUGGUGGGGAAGAGGUGGGGGUUACACAAAGGAGUGAAAGCAGCCUGAGUCUGUGUAUUGAGAAUUAAUGAAAUUAACGUAAUCCUUUCCAUUAGUGGGCUUUUUAGAAAGGCCCCAGAUUUAGGCUUGAUCUCUGCUGCACCGGCUAAUUGCCCAGGUUAAUCUUAUUAAUGCCAUUGUGUAGUAGUAGUUAGCAGCUCCUAGUCUUGUCUAUUAUGCGCCUACUUUGGUCGUGUUAGUUCACAUUAGUGGGUGCGAUUUCCUCUGUCUAAAGCUCAGAUUCAUUAUUUAUGCUUCGAACUGGUUGAGAAGCACUUAAAAAAAAAAUAAACUGCCACAUAACCAUGCAACGCCCCCCCCCACUCCAAGUGUUUCUGUAGCAGGAUUUGAAUGCUGCGUCCCCGAUUCGGAGGAUUGAAAGAGCGUUGAGAAGUCACCUGGCGGAACAAGGACGCGUGAAUGUUGCGAAAUCCUCUCUCUCCUUUUUCUUUAAUUUUCCCCCCGUUUUCAGCAGAUUCAGACAGAAUACUUCGUCUGUCACGACUGUCCCUGGGAAUCCACAGGAGGUGAACUGAAUAAGAUUAGACUAUUUACCCCAUCAACUCUCCAUCAAAGAAGGUAGGAAAUUGUACGCAUGAAAUGAAAACAAG